UACGUAGGUGGCAAGCGUUGUCCGGAUUUACUGGGCGUAAAGAGCGCGCAGGCGGUCGUUCAAGUCGCGUGUGAAAGCCCCCGGCUCAACUGGGGAGGGUCACGCGAUACUGAUCGACUCGAAGGCAGGAGAGGGUAGUGGAAUUCCCGGUGUAGUGGUGAAAUGCGUAGAUAUCGUGGAGAACACCCGUGGCGAAGGCGGGCUUCUGGCUAAUUACUGACGCUGAGGUGCGAAAGCUAGGGGAGCGAACGGG
Molecule: ribosomal RNA, 253 nt
Filed under: uncultured bacterium
Lineage: Bacteria
Description: partial 16S ribosomal RNA
Rfam family: Bacterial small subunit ribosomal RNA
Source: RNAcentral